Non-coding RNA from Pelobates cultripes (western spadefoot toad), 1152 nucleotides. Lineage: Eukaryota; Metazoa; Chordata; Amphibia; Anura; Pelobatidae. The record is from the annotation of a GenBank genome assembly.
ACAAGAGCAUGGACCAGCACCUUAGCCGCAUCUCUUUGAAUAAUAACAGCAAAAAGAAAAUAAAUCCACUACCCAAUGUAUGCAGGACAGUAUGUGAAACCUACCUGUUGACAAUAUUCAUAUUUAACCCAUUCGUGGCUCUCUCAAUACGUUGCUGAGAUAUACAUUCAGAACAAACCACAAGGCAAUGGUUUAAUACCAUUUAGAUGUGACCACCCUAAAAACACAAGUUUUAACGGAACAUUAGAGCACAGAGUGAAGAGAAAGCCAUACAGAGGAGUCCUGGAAACCUUAAGAAAAUAAACUUGUUGUUAUGCCACAUUAUUGGGACAUUUCUAAAUAUUAUAACCUUUUUAUCUCUUUGAAGUGGUUGUAUUAAAAGAAGUUACUUGGUUCUUAUCCCAUGGGUCAGUGUUUAACUGUGAAUAAUCCAGAAAAUAAUCAGAUGAUAAUCCAGAAAAGUACAUAUUGAACUCACUUAUAUUUAAUUUUUCCAUGUACCAAGAACUGUGCAAAAGCAUGUCUUCUCAUUAGUUUCUCUUAGGAGAUCAAUAAGAUGAUAAAGGGAAGGUGAGAAAUAUCUUAGGACCUAUUCCACCUUGAAUGCUCAGUGAAAACACUUACUCUUGAUAAACUGUGCUGCUGACCAUUGAGGUAUAAAGAUGGCUGUCAUGGAGCAAGAGCAAGCCAGGAGGUGCACUGAACAGAGGGAUUAAAUUAUAUAUAUGUAUCACAGAAUUAUACACACAGAGGCCUUUAUUCAUGUGAGCAUUUAUUUUGAAUAAUAAUGAAAAAAUAAUGCCAGUGGAAAAGGGAGAGUUUGGAGGUUGGUGGAGAGUUGCUGUAGGUCAAGACAGAGGAGGUUUCUGCAAGACUGAGGUGCUGAGGGUGGUAUAAUUUGGGUAGUGGGUACUCAGAUGUCAAAGGUCAACAGAUAGUGGUCAGGUAGAGGAAAGGAAACAUUGGAGAGAUUAGAGAAGGUAUAGAGCUUGGUGAAGAUGAGAUCAAGAGUAUUUACCAAACCUAGAUUCCUCUCAUGCAACUGUCAUAAGGAAAAAAAAAGAAGAAAAAAAAGACACUAAGCCCUCAUGAAUACUAUUCUAGCAACCUACUUUUCUAUCUUUACUUUCUGUAUCACUUUACCCCACUCCC